This 497-nucleotide ribosomal RNA is filed under the name uncultured bacterium. RNAcentral describes it as "partial 16S ribosomal RNA". It matches the Rfam family "Bacterial small subunit ribosomal RNA", at positions 28 to 507 of the family's 1533-position model. The record is from RNAcentral.
GAUGAACGCUGGCGGCGUGCCUAAUACAUGCAAGUCGAGCGAACAGACGAGGAGCUUGCUCCUCUGACGUUAGCGGCGGACGGGUGAGUAACACGUGGAUAACCUACCUAUAAGACUGGGAUAACUUCGGGAAACCGGAGCUAAUACCGGAUAAUAUAUUGAACCGCAUGGUUCAAUAGUGAAAGACGGUUUUGCUGUCACUUAUAGAUGGAUCCGCGCCGCAUUAGCUAGUUGGUAAGGUAACGGCUUACCAAGGCAACGAUGCGUAGCCGACCUGAGAGGGUGACCGGCCACACUGGAACUGAGACACGGUCCAGACUCCUACGGGAGGCAGCAGUAGGGAAUCUUACGCAAUGGGCGAAAGCCUGACGGAGCAAAGCCGCGUGAGUGAUGAAGGUCUUCGGAUCGUAAAACUCUGUUAUUAGGGAAGAACAAAUGUGUAAGUAACUAUGCACGUCUUGACGGUACCUAAUCAGAAAGCCACGGCUAACUACGUG